Molecule: non-coding RNA, 99 nt
Filed under: Catenovulum maritimum
Lineage: Bacteria; Pseudomonadati; Pseudomonadota; Gammaproteobacteria; Alteromonadales; Alteromonadaceae
Also listed under: 1 other name
Description: TPP riboswitch aptamer (THI element)
Rfam family: TPP riboswitch aptamer (THI element)
About the family: Vitamin B(1) in its active form thiamin pyrophosphate (TPP) is an essential coenzyme that is synthesised by coupling of pyrimidine and thiazole moieties in bacteria. The previously detected thiamin-regulatory element, thi box was extended, resulting in a new, highly conserved RNA secondary structure, the THI element, which is widely distributed in eubacteria and also occurs in some archaea.
Source: Rfam by way of RNAcentral
CGAAACUUGUCGGAGUGCCGUAGGGCUGAGAUCGCGUAAGUGGGAUCCGUCGAACCUGAUCUGGGUAAAACCAGCGUAGGAAACAAGAGUAAACAUCUA